This 1021-nucleotide long non-coding RNA is filed under the name Phoenix dactylifera (date palm). RNAcentral's name for it is "long non-coding RNA (PDAC_LNC016350)". Lineage: Eukaryota; Viridiplantae; Streptophyta; Magnoliopsida; Arecales; Arecaceae. The record is from RNAcentral.
AGGAGAGGAUUACACCCAUUACCAGAUUCAAUAAUGGAUGUUGUGAAUGAAAUUGUAAAUGUUGGAUAUUUCUACUAGGUCUUAAAUGCUUAUAAACAAAAUCAUUUUUGGAGAACUCUUUCUUAUGCAUUAACUUGUCUCAAAUGAAUAGUUGUAGAGGCACAGUAUAGUUUGUUGAUUCUUGGGUGACUUGAUGCAAACAAGGGGUCUCCAAAAUACUUGAUUUGUUGUUUGUCAGAAAUUUAGACCUUGUAGAUCAUGCCUGGUGGUUUAUAUUUCCAUUUUUCAACUCCCAUGACUGAAUAUGUAUAUAUACAUAUGUUUGUGUUUUUGUGUGCCUAUGUGUACACUUGUAUGUAUAUAUAACACAAUUUAUGUACGUAUAUAACAUGAUUUUUUAAGUCCCAGUACUAAGCCCCUUAUUGGUACCUCAUUGAUAUGGUUUGGUGCGUCCUCUGUACUGACCCAUGGUACACUGUUGGAGCAAAUAACAAAUAGUACCAUGUGUUGCUACAUGGGGCCUACUGAGGCCCAUACCAGUAUUAGGACUCUUUCAAGUUGGUAUUGUUAGCUCUGAACUUCAUGGUAUCACACGGUAUGAAUGUUACAUACAGACAUAUAGAGUGUGUGUGUGUGUGUGAGAGAGAGAGAUACAUAUUCCCAUAUAUGAGGAAUGGGACUGGCAAGUCGUAUUUGUAGUGCUAUUAGAGUUGAUGAUAACAAAUUAUAAGUCAUUAGGUUGUUGUAGAGAAGAAUCGAACAGAUCUAACAUCCAAUUUUGUCAUACAUGGAAGCUGUCUGUCUUGUUUAACUAUGAAUCUGCCAGGAUUCCCAGCAUCAAGAUUAACUUCAUUUUCUGCAGUUACCAAAAUGAUGCAUAUCAGUAGUGCAACUGUAGUUUGGUAUCCAACUUCCCUGUCUAACCUAAGGCUGAUGCAGUCUGCUGUGAUUGCAAGUCUGAUGCCAUCUAUAGUUGGUGAUGCCCCUCUGAUAGCUUUAACAAUUUGUCUUUCAAAGCCUU